ACCAUCUACCACAGGCAAUCAUCUUCAAUAAAAAGCAAUGGUUAUGCACAUGGGAGGGGCUUCAGGGCUCCCACCCGAAAGGCAUUAGCUACCAAGGAUGUGGGGUGUUUGUGGUGUGUGUGUAGGGGUGGAGGGAUAGAAACGUCUGGAGGCACGGGGGUGGAGGGGCCAAGAGGGACAAAGGUGGAAUUAGCUCAGAAGAUAGGUAAUGCCUCUCUCUCCAGGCCGCAAUUAAAAUAAUAUUUUAACAAAAGAGAUUUUUUUUCCAAGUUCAGAAAAAAACCUAUGCGGGGCGCGAGGGGGGUGGAGGAGGGAGUUGAUAAUGUAACAUACACUCUUUCAGACUGUAGAUAGGGUACCAGGGGAUUUGGACCUUGUGACCGAAUAAGAGCUCAGAAUCAGUAUUCGGACAGAGUAGGGGGAGGGGGCGGGCAACGUGUGGGUAGGAGGAAGGAGAAAGAGCGAAAGCUGGGAUAGACUCGGCUAGACAGUUCCCCCGGGUAGCAGGAUCCUCCAGGGCUCCAAUUCCGGGGUGCAAGGACCCUCCCCGACUACUCCCGAGCUGCACCCCAGCUCGAAGCCACUUGCUGCGCAAAGCGCGCGGGCCCAGCCGGUCUCGUGUCCCCCGCCCGUGCGCCGCGUAACUGACUGGCACACUGAGCGCGCUCACCGAUCUUGACUUGCUCGCGGUAGCUCUUUUCGUUGAGGCAAACCCCGCGGCCGUGCAGCAGGGCGUGCAGCGGCUUCUCCUCGUCCUGCCGGGGGAGGCAGCGCAGCCCCUGGGCGCAGCGCUCGGUGUAGACGCCGCACGACUGCCCCUCGGCCAGGGCGCAGGUCAUGCAGCAGCCGCAGCCCGGCUCCUUGACCAGCUCGCAGCCCAGGGGGCUGGGGGGGCACAUGGAGAGGGCUUUCUCGUCGCAGGGCUCGCAGUGCACGAAGGAGCCCAGGCUCUGGGCCGGCCCCGCAUAGGCGGCCAGCAGCAGGAGGACCGCGGGAGCGAGCCUCAGUGCUUUGAACGCCUCCUGCUCCAUCACAGUGACUGCUCAAGGCAGGACACCUGAUCCUAUCGGAAUCCACCCACGGGAACCAGCAAGUGAUUCUUGAACAUUUAUGCCAGAGAAAUGAAGACUUAUCUUGACAUGAAAAUGAAUGGACGUUUAUUUGUAAUAGCCAAACCUGGAAACAAUCCAAGUGUCCUUCAACAGAUAAUCCAAGACGGAGGAGAAGCAUCUCCAUGGCACCUCACUCUGAUUUGCGAGGAUUUGGCCAGAGAAACUGUUCUCAAGAGUGUGAAUUAGGUGGCAGCUACUAUUUUAUGGUACCUCGCUAUCCACUUUGUAAGAGUCUCCGAGAGCAGAGGGAGCACAUCCCCUGACACCUCGCACAUGACAGUUGCUUCAUCAGUGCUGGUUGUGCUCCUGAGAACUCAGCAUGGAGAGAGGCCUAGUCCCCGCUCCCCUGCUCCCAAUUGCUCUGUGACUCAUUCUCACGGCUCGCCCUUCAGGUUCUCGUUCUUGAAUUUCUCCUGCUCCCUCCCACUCCCAGUCCUUUGCCAUGUCUCCCCUGUGCCUGGAACACUUUUUGAUGCAGGUCACCUCCAGGACUCUGCCACUUUCAAGUUGAGUGUUCCAGGUAGGUCACUGAACCCCUCUGAGUUUCAGUGUCUUUAUCUGUAAAGAUAAAAACUAGACAUAACCUUUGGCUGACUGGGAGAGUUGGGAUUGGAUAAGGCAAGUACUGAGUCCAAGGCCUGGCUCUGAGUCCCUGCCCCAGGGACAGCAGCUCCUGUGAUUUUGGUUCAUCAUGGUAGGUCCCUCCUUCUCUCUCUCUUCUUGGGAACUGCCACCAUCCUUUCUGUUCUUUAACCUGCUUCUCCGCCAAUAAAGGCAGAGUGGAACACUCUCUUCCUGGCUCCUAUUUCCUCGCUGCCUCCAAAGACAAGCCUGUCACCUCCCCACCCCGCCUGCCCACAUCUUUGUUUUACUAAAUGAAGGAAUAAUUAUAAAAAUUUUAGAACUUCAUCAGGUCCUACAAGCAUACACCUGAAUGAUAACUUCCCUGUUGGGAUAAUAGCUAGAAACUCUGUUGGGUGUUUGCCUCUUGCUCGAAUUCCUUAUUUUAUUUUAUUUUGAGCAAAAACACACAUUUAUUUACUAACCAAAGGCUGAUCCUAAUCUAAGCCAACACUUUAAAAUAGCUGCAUGUAAAAUAUUUGUGAUGAAGAUAAUUAAACACAGUAAUGAAAAAAAUAAAAACAAAAACAAGCAGGAUGGAGAUAUGUUCAUUGAACUGAAAUUGUUCCUUCUCUCAGCUAAUUGCUCUCCAAAGCAGUAAGGAAAUUUUUAUUCUGCUUUUUUUAUUUUCACAGAUCUGAG
Molecule: long non-coding RNA, 2375 nt
Filed under: Homo sapiens (human)
Lineage: Eukaryota; Metazoa; Chordata; Mammalia; Primates; Hominidae
Description: HSALNT0047012
Source: RNAcentral